RNAcentral lists this ribosomal RNA (197 nucleotides) under uncultured bacterium. RNAcentral describes it as "partial 16S ribosomal RNA". It matches the Rfam family "Bacterial small subunit ribosomal RNA", at positions 335 to 524 of the family's 1533-position model. The record is from RNAcentral.
ACUCCUACGGGAGGCAGCAGUGGGGAAUAUUGGACAAUGGGCGCAAGCCUGAUCCAGCAAUGCCGCGUGUGUGAAGAAGGCCUGCGGGUUGUAAAGCACUUUCAGUGGGGAAGAAACGUCUUGGGUUAAUACCCCAAGGGUUUGACGUUACCCACAGAAGAAGCACCGGCUAACUCCGUGCCAGCAGCCGCGGUAAU